AGAGCUCAGUGUUGAUCAGAGGCUGUCCAGGCCUUUCAGAGCCACUGAACCACCAGCAGCACAAUGAUGAUGUUACUGACUCUACUGCUGACCAUCCUGGAGCUCCUGGUUCAGGGUUCUUCAGGAGACAUCGUCCUGAAUCAGACUCCUAGAGCUCAGUCUGCUGUUCAGGGACAGACCGUCUCCAUCAGAUGUAAAUCUGACAGAAGUAUAGGUGAUGACAUCAACUGGUACCUGCAGAAACCUGGAGGAGCUCCAAAACUCCUGUUUUAUGAUACCACAGAGCGUCAGUCUGGAGUCCCAGAAAGGUUUCGUGCAACAGCACAACAGACUGACUUCACACUGAUAAUCAGUGGAGUUCAGGCUGAGGAUGGAGGAGUUUACUAUUGUCAGCAGCGUAACAGCCUCCCAUUCACACAGUGAUACACAGUCGUACAAAAACCUCCCAUCAGAAGAGGAACUGAUCUGAGUCAACAGACAAACUAUCAUUCCUUGUUAACAGCUGUAGAUGCUGAAGUUAUUCUAGGUUUAG
Molecule: non-coding RNA, 532 nt
Organism: Cyprinodon tularosa
Lineage: Eukaryota; Metazoa; Chordata; Actinopteri; Cyprinodontiformes; Cyprinodontidae
Source: the annotation of a RefSeq genome assembly